RNAcentral lists this ribosomal RNA (202 nucleotides) under uncultured bacterium. RNAcentral describes it as "partial 16S ribosomal RNA". It matches the Rfam family "Bacterial small subunit ribosomal RNA", at positions 1300 to 1500 of the family's 1533-position model. The record is from RNAcentral.
GCAGGCUGCAACUCGCCUGCAUGAAGUUGGAAUUGCUAGUAAUCGCGAAUCAGAAUGUCGCGGUGAAUACGUUCCCGGGCCCUUGUACACACCGCCCGUCACACCAUGAGAGCCGAUAACACCCGAAGCCUGUGAGCUAACCGUAAGGGGGCAGCAGUCGAAGGUGGGGUUGGUGAUUGGGGUGAAGUCGUAACAAGGUAAC